CCUAUGUUUCUCAAUAUAUGAUUUGUGCAACAGAUAUUUCUUGGAGAAAAUGGUGCCCAUGAUACUGAAGGAAAUGAUUUGCUAUGUUUGGUUUAUGUUUCACAAAAGUAGGCACAGGAAAAAAAAAAGUUGGGGCCAUGAAUACCAUGAGAACUCCAGCUUCAGAAGAGGAAUCUCGCAUGCCAACUUUCUUUUGGAUAAUCCCAAUUGGCUGUCGUUGCAGGGGUUUCUAAGUGUGAUGAAAUGCCUACUAGAAGAAGAGUGUGAGACCAAUUGAGAUUGAGGUUGUAUUUCUCCACUCUGGUCUUGAAGAAGGUUCUUUUGGGUGCUUUGUUUUGUACAAGAAUUCUAUUGUGACAGCGUGAUGGUGAUCUCUUUGUCCAGUGAAGAUAAGGAAUGUGGCAUUUUUUUCUUGUAUUUUCCAUUCUUAGUAUUAAGGUGAGACUGUAAUUGUUCUUGUGAUUCUACCUUAUUAUUUGAUGAAAUAUUUUGUUAUCUAAGAGUAAGCUAUGUUAUUGAUGUUUAUUGGUUGUCUCUGGUCUAUCUAGAGAGAAAUAUUGUAAUCUCAUUAUUUAACAUAGUGAAAGU
Long non-coding RNA from Macadamia integrifolia, 588 nucleotides. RefSeq lists it as uncharacterized. The record is from RefSeq and is a predicted model, not a curated record. Lineage: Eukaryota; Viridiplantae; Streptophyta; Magnoliopsida; Proteales; Proteaceae. The transcript has 4 exons.